This 440-nucleotide ribosomal RNA is filed under the name uncultured bacterium. RNAcentral describes it as "partial 16S ribosomal RNA". It matches the Rfam family "Bacterial small subunit ribosomal RNA", at positions 338 to 795 of the family's 1533-position model. The record is from RNAcentral.
CCUACGGGAGGCAGCAGUGGGGAAUAUUGCACAAUGGGGGAAACCCUGAUGCAGCGACGCCGCGUGAGUGAAGAAGUAAUUCGUUAUGGAAAGCUCUAUCAGCAGGGAAGAAAAUGACGGUACCUGAGUAAGAAGCCCCGGCUAACUACGUGCCAGCAGCCGCGGUAAUACGUAGGGGGCAAGCGUUAUCCGGAUUUACUGGGUGUAAAGGGAGCGUAGACGGCAGUGCAAGUCUGAAGUGAAAGGCGGGGGCUCAACCCCCGGACUGCUCUGGAAACUGUACGGCUGGAGUGCAGGAGAGGUAAGUGGAAUUCCUGGUGUAGCGGUGAAAUGCGUAGAUAUUAGGAGGAACACCAGUGGCGAAGGCAGCUUACUGGACUGUAACUGACGUUGAGGCUCGAAAGCGUGGGGAGCAAACAGGAUUAGAUACCCCAGUAGUC